UACGAAGGGGGCUAGCGUUGCUCGGAAUCACUGGGCGUAAAGGGUGCGUAGGCGGGUUUUUAAGUCAGGGGUGAAAUCCUGGAGCUCAACUCCAGAACUGCCUUUGAUACUGAAGAUCUUGAGUCCGGGAGAGGUGAGUGGAACUGCGAGUGUAGAGGUGAAAUUCGUAGAUAUUCGCAAGAACACCGGUGGCGAAGGCGGCUCACUGGCCCGGUACUGACGCUGAGGCACGAAAGCGUGGGGAGCAAACAGG
RNAcentral lists this ribosomal RNA (253 nucleotides) under uncultured bacterium. RNAcentral's name for it is "partial 16S ribosomal RNA". It matches the Rfam family "Bacterial small subunit ribosomal RNA", at positions 524 to 776 of the family's 1533-position model. The record is from RNAcentral.